AUGUCGCCUGAGUAUGCGAUGGAGGGCAUUUUUUCCGUCAAGUCGGACACCUACAGCUUUGGUAUUUUGCUACUAGAGAUUGUAAGUGGAUUAAAGAUCAGUUCACCACAUCAUCUUGUGAUGGACUUUUCAAAUCUCAUAUCAUUUGCAUGGAACUUGUGGGCAGAUGGCAAAGUGGAGGAUUUCGUGGACCCAGCCGUCACGGAGAGCUACUCGCUUGAUGAAGUGUCCAAGUGCAUCCAUGUUGGGCUCUUGUGUGUCCAGGACAGCUCCGGUGCUAGGCCUCACAUGUCAUCCGUUGUGUCCAUGCUCGACAGUGAAGCCAUGCCUCGCGCAGCGCCGAGGCAACCUAUGUAUUUCGCGCAGAUAAAUUACGAAACCAGUGAUGCGACAGAAGACCUGGAAAACUCUGCCAAUGGCGUGAGCCUUACGGCACUAGAAGGACGAUAA
This 450-nucleotide ribosomal RNA is filed under the name Triticum aestivum (bread wheat). RNAcentral's name for it is "partial small subunit ribosomal RNA". Lineage: Eukaryota; Viridiplantae; Streptophyta; Magnoliopsida; Poales; Poaceae. The record is from RNAcentral.